CGCAUCUGUGCAUGCAGCAUAUCAAUAAGCGGAGGAAAAGUAACUAACAAGGAUUCCCCUAGUAACGGCGAGUGAAGCGGGAAGAGCUCAAAUUUGAAAUCUUAAAGGGUUUCCCUUUACGAAUUGUAGUUUAAAGAAGUGUUUUCUGUUGAGGUUUUGGUAAAAGUUCUUUGGAAUAGGACAUCAUAGAGGGUGAGAAUCCCGUAUUUGACCUUUACUUUCAACUUUGUGAUACACUUUCAAAGAGUCGGAUUGUUUGGGAAUGCAGUCCAAAAUGGGUGGUAAAUUUCAUCUAAAGCUAAAUAUUGGCGAGAGACCGAUAGCGAACAAGUACCGUGAGGGAAAGAUGAAAAGAACUUUGAAAAGAGAGUUAAACAGUACGUGAAAUUGUCAAAAGGGAAGCGUUUGACACCAGUGUUGUUUUUCUGAAAAUCAAUUAAAGAACUGUUUAUGCUAAGUUGUUUAGACUUUAUCAGCUAACUGUUUAGUUUUGAGCUUUUCUUUAACGCACUUUUCAGUUAACAAGUCAACAUCAAUUUCUUUUGCUGUAAAAAAGCUUGAGGAAGGUGGCUUGAGAUUCGUCUUAAGUGUUUAUAGCCUCUUGCCUAUGCAGUCGGAGAGAUUGAGGUCUGCAGCGUAGAUCCUUCGGGGCUAAAUGCAUUUGUGCUAAGUUAUAGCAUUUUAUAGACAACUUGUUGACUAUGAUUUGUCUUGUAGCUUACUCGCUUAUGUUAUUUUACCUACGCUUAGGAUGUUGAGUCGUAGAGCACGCAG
RNAcentral lists this ribosomal RNA (774 nucleotides) under uncultured Neocallimastigales. RNAcentral describes it as "partial large subunit ribosomal RNA". It matches the Rfam family "Eukaryotic large subunit ribosomal RNA", at positions 26 to 628 of the family's 3401-position model. Lineage: Eukaryota; Fungi; Neocallimastigomycota; Neocallimastigomycetes; Neocallimastigales. The record is from RNAcentral.